Molecule: ribosomal RNA, 253 nt
Filed under: uncultured bacterium
Lineage: Bacteria
Description: partial 16S ribosomal RNA
Rfam family: Bacterial small subunit ribosomal RNA
Source: RNAcentral
UACAGAGGUCUCAAGCGUUGUUCGGAUUCAUUGGGCGUAAAGGGUGCGUAGGCGGCUAGGCAAGUCAGGUGUGAAAGCCCCGAGCUUAACUCGGGAACUGCAUCUGAAACUGCUGGGCUUGAGUUCUGGAGGGGGUAGUGGAAUUCCCAGUGUAGCGGUGAAAUGCGUAGAUAUUGGGAGGAACACCUGCGGCGAAGGCGGCUACCUGGACAGAAACUGACGCUGAGGCGCGAAAGCUAGGGGAGCGAACGGG